RNAcentral lists this ribosomal RNA (497 nucleotides) under uncultured bacterium. RNAcentral describes it as "partial 16S ribosomal RNA". It matches the Rfam family "Bacterial small subunit ribosomal RNA", at positions 28 to 507 of the family's 1533-position model. The record is from RNAcentral.
GAUGAACGCUGGCGGCGUGCCUAAUACAUGCAAGUCGAGCGAACAGACGAGGAGCUUGCUCCUCUGACGUUAGCGGCGGACGGGUGAGUAACACGUGGAUAACCUACCUAUAAGACUGGGAUAACUUCGGGAAACCGGAGCUAAUACCGGAUAACAUGUUGAACCGCAUGGUUCAACAGUGAAAGACGGUCUUGCUGUCACUUAUAGAUGGAUCCGCGCCGCAUUAGCUAGUUGGUAAGGUAACGGCUUACCAAGGCAACGAUGCGUAGCCGACCUGAGAGGGUGAUCGGCCACACUGGAACUGAGACACGGUCCAGACUCCUACGGGAGGCAGCAGUAGGGAAUCUUCCGCAAUGGGCGAAAGCCUGACGGAGCAACGCCGCGUGAGUGAUGAAGGUCUUCGGAUCGUAAAACUCUGUUAUUAGGGAAGAACAAAUGUGUAAGUAACUAUGCACGUCUUGACGGUACCUAAUCAGAAAGCCACGGCUAACCACGUG